AAUGCAUGGCGGGUGCUGGCACCACGGGUGCGGCUGCCCUGCUGUGCCCGUGCCGUUGGGGCAGAGAGGAAGCGGCUAUUUAUACGCUCAGUGCUCAACCAUGGGCACUAAGAAUGGUUUGUAGCCGAACAUCA
Bos mutus (wild yak) is the source of this 134-nucleotide small nucleolar RNA. NCBI's taxonomy places the organism in Eukaryota, Metazoa, Chordata, Mammalia, Artiodactyla, Bovidae. The record is from Ensembl.